CCUACGGGUGGCUGCAGUCGAGAAUCAUUCACAAUGGGGGAAACCCUGAUGGUGCGACGCCGCGUGGGGGAAUGAAGGUCUUCGGAUUGUAAACCCCUGUCAUGUGGGAGCAAAUUAAAAAGAUAGUACCACAAGAGGAAGAGACGGCUAACUCGGUGCCAGCAGCCGCGGUAAUACAGCGGUCUCAAGCGUUGUUCGGAAUCACUGGGCGAAAAGCGUGCGUAGGCUGUUUCGUAAUUCGUGGGUGAAAGGCGCGGGCACAACCCGCGAACGGCACAUGAUACGGCGGGACUAGAGUAAUGGGGGGGGGACCGAAAUUCUGGGUGUAGCAGUGAAAUGCG
Molecule: ribosomal RNA, 341 nt
Filed under: uncultured bacterium
Lineage: Bacteria
Description: partial 16S ribosomal RNA
Rfam family: Bacterial small subunit ribosomal RNA
Source: RNAcentral